CUACGGGUGGCUGCAGUGAGGAAUUUUGCGCAAUGGGGGAAACCCUGACGCAGCAACGCCGCGUGAGUGAAGAAGGCCCUUGGGUCGUAAAGCUCUGUCAAUGGGGAAGAAGCUACUUGGUAUUAAUAGUGCCUUGUAUUGACGGUACCCAUGAAGGAAGCACCGGCUAACUCCGUGCCAGCAGCCGCGGUAAUACGGGGGGUGCAAGCGUUAUUCGGAAUUAUUGGGCGUAAAGGGCACGCAGGCGGUCCUGUCAGUCAGAUGUGAAAGCCCGGGGCUCAACCCCGGACGUGCAUUUGAAACAGCAGGACUGGAGUACGGGAGAGGAAAGGGGAAUUCCUGGUGUAGAGGUGAAAUUCGUAGAUAUCAGGAGGAACACCGGUGGCGAAGGCGCCUUUCUGGACCGAUACUGACGCUGAGGUGCGAAGGCGUGGGUAGCGAACGGGAUUAGAUACCCGGGUAGUC
This 465-nucleotide ribosomal RNA is filed under the name uncultured bacterium. RNAcentral's name for it is "partial 16S ribosomal RNA". It matches the Rfam family "Bacterial small subunit ribosomal RNA", at positions 339 to 795 of the family's 1533-position model. The record is from RNAcentral.